This 253-nucleotide ribosomal RNA is filed under the name uncultured bacterium. RNAcentral's name for it is "partial 16S ribosomal RNA". It matches the Rfam family "Bacterial small subunit ribosomal RNA", at positions 524 to 776 of the family's 1533-position model. The record is from RNAcentral.
AACGUAGGUGGCAAGCGUUAUCCGGAAUUACUGGGCGUAAAGGGUGUGCAGGCGGGGCUGCAAGGGGGGUAUGAAAUCUCCCAGCUUAACUGGGAUAGGUUAUGCCAGACUGCAGUUCUAGAGGACGAGAGAGGGGGGUGGAAUUCCGGGUGUAGUGGUGAAAUGCGUAGAGAUCCGGAGGAACCCCAGAGGCGAAGGCGGCCCCCUGGCUCGUACCUGACGCUCAGCCACGAAAGCAUGGGGAGCGAACGGG